CCCUGCCAUUUGUACACACCGCCCGUCGCUCCUACCGAUUUCGAGUGGUCCGCUGAACCGUUUGGACCGAGGCCGGAUUUUCGGUCUUGGAAAGUCCAGUAAAGCACAUCACUUAGAGGAAGGAGAAG
Molecule: ribosomal RNA, 128 nt
Filed under: uncultured eukaryote
Lineage: Eukaryota
Description: partial small subunit ribosomal RNA
Rfam family: Eukaryotic small subunit ribosomal RNA
Source: RNAcentral